UGGGGAAUUUUGGACAAUGGGCGAAAGCCUGAUCCAGCAAUGCCGCGUGUGUGAAGAAGGCCUUCGGGUUGUAAAGCACUUUUUGUCCGGAAAGAAAUCCUUGGCUCUAAUACAGUCGGGGGAUGACGGUACCGGAAGAAUAAGCACCGGCUAACUACGUGCCAGCAGCCGCGGUAAUACGUAGGGUGCAAGCGUUAAUCGGAAUUACUGGGCGUAAAGCGUGCGCAGGCGGUUUGCUAAGACCGAUGUGAAAUCCCCGGGCUCAACCUGGGAACUGCAUUGGUGACUGGCAGGCUAGAGUAUGGCAGAGGGGGGUAGAAUUCCACGUGUAGCAGUGAAAUGCGUAGAGAUGUGGAGGAAUACCGAUGGCGAAGGCAGCCCCCUGGGCCAAUACUGGCGCUCAUGCACGAAAGCGUGGGGGAGCAAAACAGGAUUCAGAUACCCUGGUAGUCCCACGCCCUAAACGAUGUCAACUAGUUGUUGGGGAUUCAUUUCCUUAGUAACGUAGCUAACGCGUGAAGUUGACCGCCUGGGGAGUACGGUCG
This 545-nucleotide ribosomal RNA is filed under the name uncultured bacterium. RNAcentral's name for it is "partial 16S ribosomal RNA". It matches the Rfam family "Bacterial small subunit ribosomal RNA", at positions 355 to 888 of the family's 1533-position model. The record is from RNAcentral.